UCCCUUAUGGUUCAGGGGCUAAGACUCUGCACUCCCCAUGCAAGAGGCCCAGGUUCAAUCCCUGGUCAGGGAA
Bos taurus (domestic cattle) is the source of this 73-nucleotide non-coding RNA. NCBI's taxonomy places the organism in Eukaryota, Metazoa, Chordata, Mammalia, Artiodactyla, Bovidae. The record is from Rfam.